RNAcentral lists this long non-coding RNA (1256 nucleotides) under Pogona vitticeps (central bearded dragon). RNAcentral's name for it is "lncRNA (ENSPVIG00000013017.1)". Lineage: Eukaryota; Metazoa; Chordata; Lepidosauria; Squamata; Agamidae. The record is from RNAcentral.
GUUGUUUACAUAAUUAAGGCCAGUAUGUAAGGAUGAGCUUCUAUUUUGAUGUGUGGAAGUGUUCACUUCUGUAAUAACUGAAAAACCCAAAAAUACCACUGCAGAGUAAAACAUUUUUUAAAAAAAUACCAUGCAAAUUUUGAAGAAAAAAAAAAGGAAAUGGGUGAAUCAAAUUCCAGUCACUUAAAAUAUAAACAAUGAGGCCUGUUAAUCAGCUGGGACACGUGGUCCGAUCAAUGUUCGCGCCAGUUUCCUGUAGGGACGGCUUGCUGUUAGUUAUUGCAUCUGUCAGCUGAGCUUAUCUUCAUCCUGGGGCCAAAAGGCCCCUCAAAGGCUCAAAGUCCAGGGAACCGCCGCCUUUCUUUCUGGAGGGCAAAUGAAAAGACAAGUCACCUAAUUAACUUACAGGAGUAAAAUAUGAAUGAAACAGGCCAUGAGGGACUCCUUCCAAAAUACACUUUCUUCUGUUUUCCCCCCACCCGCCGCCCCCGCGCGCCGCUUCCCCCAUUCUUUCUAAGCGCAAGCGGUUAAGGACGGGGCAGGGGCCGGCAGAGGAAUUGGGGGUUCCUCCGACUUGGGGGGGGGGUUCCCACUUCCCAGCUCCCCAGGAGAGCGGCGGGUUUUUAAAAGAGGUUGGACGUUAGCAUUCCGAGCACACGUUGCCGCCGAGUAUGGGAAAAAGGAUCGGGCGGCCCAAAGAGCCGGCGCCACUAACUGACGCGCGGAGCGCAAGUGAUCAAGAUUUACUGCAAGAGAGGAGGAAACAGUCCGCUGGCCCGAUUAGAGCUGUGAAUACCGAGUUGUUCAGGGAGGAUUUUGCAGCUGACUGAUCACAGGCUGGCGGAGCAGGCCUCGGACAACAGCUGCAAGGCUUGCUGGCCUGCGGAAACAAAGGGCGCCUAGCAUGGCGCAAAGAAAGAGCUGACAGGUUGUUGUUAGCAGGGGCGAAUGUGUGAGCGUGACAUGUUUGCAUUGCUGGGAGAUUGCAGUGUGGAAGCAGGUUACUUCUUCAAGCCAGCAGAAACAUCACCCAGCUUUCUGGCAUGCUGCAUUUUGUCCUUUGUCCAUCACAUCUGCCAGCACAGUCAAGUGGCUUCAGAAACAGUAUUAUAAUAUUCUGGAAGAUAACCAAAUGACUUAUUUCUUUUAAAAAGAAAAGAAAAGCAAAACUUUCCCCAACCUUCACUGAGCAGUCAGUUUCAAGUCCCCCUACUUAUUUUCUGCCCACUCUGCACUUUACAACUGCGGAAACUUUU